CCUACGGGAGGCAGCAGUGGGGAAUAUUGGGCAAUGGAGGAAACUCUGACCCAGCGACGCCGCGUGCGGGAUGAAGGCCUUCGGGUUGUAAACCGCUUUCAGUAGGGAAGAAGCGAAAGUGACGGUACAUACAAAAGAAGCACCGGCUAACUAUGUGCCAGCAGCCGCGGUAAUACAUAGGGUGCAAGCGUUGUCCGGAAUUAUUGGGCGUAAAGAGCUCGUAGGUCGUUUGUUACGUCGGAUGUGAAAACCUGAGGCUCAACCUCAGGCCUGCAUUCGAUACGGGCAAACUAGAGUUUGGUAGGGGAGACUGGAAUUCCUGGUGUAGCGGUGGAAUGCGCAGAUAUCAGGAGGAACACCAAUGGCGAAGGCAGGUCUCUGGGCCAAUACUGACACUGAGGAGCGAAAGUCUGGGGAGCGAACAGGAUUAGAUACCCUGGUAGUCCAGACCGUAAACGGUGGGCACUAGUUGUGGGAACCUUCCACGGUUUCUGCGACGCAGCUACGCAUAGUAGUCCCGCCGUCGGGUAGGUACGAGUCGCGAAGAAGUUAAAACGUUAAAGUUAGUAAGUUAAGUACGGUCGUUGAGUACGUUGCCGAACGGACGACCGACGAGGGAGGAGG
RNAcentral lists this ribosomal RNA (624 nucleotides) under uncultured bacterium. RNAcentral's name for it is "bacterial SSU rRNA". The stretch from base 1 to 522 matches the Rfam family "Bacterial small subunit ribosomal RNA", at positions 338 to 873 of the family's 1533-position model. The record is from RNAcentral.